This 349-nucleotide long non-coding RNA is filed under the name Monodelphis domestica (gray short-tailed opossum). Its description in RNAcentral is "lncRNA (ENSMODG00000037513.1)". Lineage: Eukaryota; Metazoa; Chordata; Mammalia; Didelphimorphia; Didelphidae. The record is from RNAcentral.
UUGAUGGAGUCCAAGGCAUCUCCACAGUCUUCAGUUUUAGCCUUCUCUGACAGCAGGCAAGGGAGCUUCAGCACCUCUUAGAGAAGAAUAAGGAAACUGAGGUCCAGCAAGGAUUUACCCAAGAUGCCGCAGGCAAUAAUGUGAGAGACAUGAGAUUUGACUUCAAAAUCCACGGCUGCAAGGUCAGGUAUCUUUGCAUAAUAUGACAGCCACGCUCUAUGGGAAAUAAUAUAAUUAGCACUCAUAUAACACUCUAGAGGUAUAAAACAUUUAAAAAGUGUUUUACACAUGUUAUUCCAUUUUAUCAUCACACUAGCUCUGUAAGGUAAAUGAUAUUAUUUUUCCCAAG